GACGAACGCUGGCGGCGUGCUUAACACAUGCAAGUCGAGCGGUAAGGCCCUUUCGGGGGUACGACGAGCGGCGAACGGGUGAGUAACACGUGGGUGACCUCGCCCUCAGCUCUGGGAUAAGCCUGGGAAACCGGGUCUAAUACUGGAUAUGACUCCAUGACGCAUGUUGUGGGGUGGAAAGCCUUGUGCGGCUGAGGAUGGGCCCGCGGCCUAUCAGCUUGUUGGUGGGGGGAUGGCCUACCAAGGCGACGACGGGUA
This 258-nucleotide ribosomal RNA is filed under the name uncultured bacterium. Its description in RNAcentral is "partial 16S ribosomal RNA". It matches the Rfam family "Bacterial small subunit ribosomal RNA", at positions 28 to 285 of the family's 1533-position model. The record is from RNAcentral.